UUAACAUAAUAGAUUCAUACAGACAUAAUUCUGGUUAUCAAUCCUAAAGUGUCAAUAUUUACUAUAAUCACAUGCUAAAAAUCCCAAAAGACACAGACAUAUGUUCGAAAAAGCUAAUCACGUCUCUAGAAACCGUGCAGGGAUCCUUUCCGGUGCUUCAUCAAAGAUCUCUGCUGCAAUCUUCACCCGUAGGGCCUGGAUAUUUGCAUCAGUAAUGCCAUUAAAAGAAACACCAAGCAAUAAACAUUCAAGAAUCUUUAACGCGUAAACGCCGCAGUCCCCUCUGAGUAUUUUGCAGGACCUUUUUCUUGUCCCUCUGCCGGAAUGAAAAUUGGUCGUAAUGCGGGAUACGGACUUCAGAAGAAAUCAGUUCGUUCAUCAUCUAUGGGAUCAUCCUCGUGAACGGCCUACAAGCUUCCAGCAUUUUUUAAUCGCUUUCUUCUGUAUGCUCUCCGACGAUGCAAUCAUAGCAAUCGAAGUGAGACGUAAGCAAGUUCACGUGAAGGGUCAUCCAAUGAUUACCUCCGGUUUGGUGGAUAAUAUACAAGUGAUCCACAUCUGUUAUCCACUUCAUCUGUGUCGGGACUUCUCCUCCCGUUGAUAAGUGUGUAUUUUGCAUGUUUUGAGCAUCCAUUUGUCAUCACUUUAGCAUCAUAUCAUCACUGUUUUAUACCAUUUCUCAUCAUUUGUCAUCACUUUGCAUGUUUAAGAUAGUUUUGCAUGCAUGUUGCAUAUUUGUGUUGUUUUCAUGUGAUCCAGAGCUGUUGACGAGCUAAUUGGAAGAAGCGGACCUGAUCAUGCAAAACCACUCGACCCCCAGGUCGAGUAGACGAUUCACAACCUCAGCAGACCACUCGACCCCCUGGUCGAGUAGAAGACACCACCACUUCACCUCACCACUCGACCCCGAGGUCGAGUGUCUACAUCCCCACCACCUGACCCCGAGGUCGAGUGUCGACUACAUACUCGAUGGCAAGCUUCAGAGCCUUCUUCAUUCCGCACUCAACCAGACACUCGAGCACAAGGAAGAAAAGAAGACCCCAACUAUUCACUCGACCUCCCACUCGACCACCUGGGUCGAGUACAGUUCUUAAUCCGUCCCAAUACUGCGUCGUUUUAAGUAUUAGAGUUUCGGAAUAUUUGGCUAUAAGUAGCAUGUACUUCACAUUUUCGCAAACAAGUUUUUAUCUAGCUUUAUUCCGCAGACACUGUGUUCUAGAUCUUUGUAAUCCGGAUUUCUCUUUAUCUAUUCAGUAUUCAGUAUUCAGUAUUUGUUCUUGAUUUCGUUUACUGUUAUUCAUCCUGUUAUCAUCCUGCUGUUACACUGUUGUUAUCAUGUUUUCAUCCUGUUCAACGUUUAUGCUUUCUGCUAUGAUGUCUGAGUAGCGAAUAGGUUUCUGAGGAUGGGUUAGAGUAGUGUAGAAUUGUCACUAUGCUAGGUGGUUGAGUAUUGAUUGAUAGAUCCCUUCUGGAUUAGUUGUUUUUAAUGCCUAUUGCUUUCUGAUCAAUUGGAAUUUGAGCCCAGAUAUUUCCGCGCCCAAAAGGUGUUCGAUGAAAUGUCUGAACCACUAAUUCUAGAGAUUCGUGGCCCUGUACCAAGGAAUCGGUUGCAGAGAGCGUUUUGGCUUUAACUUGUUGAUUCGUAAUGCCUGUUAGGUUAGCUCUCGUCAAUGGUGAUUGAGUCUGGGACUAGGUUAACUUGAGGGUCUCUGUUGCGGUGGCACUUAGAUUUGGUUAAUGAACUUGUUGUCUAGAGAUAAUUUAUUAAGCAUGUCAAUCACCUAUAAACUAAGGAAACAAAACUACUCAAUUACCCCAUCCUCGGGAAUUCUUUAUCUGAUUGAAUUCUUUGUUUAGUCUACUGUUGUUUACUGCAUCUUAUCAUCUGAUGCUUAAUUUCUGCAAUUCUUUCUUGUUACUCGACCUCAUACUCAACCACCCAGUUGUCUGGCAACAAACUGUACAGUCGAGUAUCUAUGUUAUACUUUGUGUUUGUUACUCGACCUGUCACUCGACCUCACUCAGUGCUCUGCAAAGAGCUAUGUUGGUCGCGUGUUUUACUGUUUCUGUUUGAAUUUCUGUUUUCUGCAUGUUCACUUAGGACUGCUAGAACACACCAAAACCUGUUAUUGCUUGGCUUGACUUAGUGACUUUUGAUCACAUCUUGAUUGUUAGCAUCACCCACAUUUGGAUUGACAACCUUUAGUACUACAACGACAUGAUAGUGUUUUAGGAUUUAUUGAUCUUAAAAACCUAUUAUCAAUUUGGCGCCGUUGCCGAUUGGGUGUUUGUUUGUUACUUUUAAGAUUUCAGACUUGCUUAGAUCAAGUUCUUUUUCAAUUUUCAAUUUGGUUGCUAACUGUGUGUUUUUCUUGUUGUCUUCUUGAUCCAGGUACACCUCUGCUGUAUGCGAACUCGAUCAACAGACAAUCAGAACCUCCUUUUCAACGACAACAUUGACCGCAUAGCUCGUGAACUCAUAGAAAGGAGAAACACAGUCAACCUUGUACCCCAGCAACCACUCGAUAUGGCUGACGAACAGAAUCAAUCAAAUGGCCCUGCCAACAUUGGUGCUGGAGAUGCACCACGUGAUCACCGUCAGAGGAAAGGAAUUGCAUCUCCUGCUAUCCAUAACAACAACUUCGAGAUUAAGAGUGGUCUCAUCUCGAUGAUUUAGGGAAACAAAUUCCAUGGUCUGCCAAUGGAGGAUCCACUCGACCACCUUGAUGAAUUCGAUAACCUAACAAAGAUCAAUGGUGUCAGUGAAGACGGAUUCAAGCUCCGUUUGUUUCCAUUCUCCUUGGGCGACAAAACGCACAUCUGGGAGAAGAAUCUGCCCCAUGAUUCAAUCACCACCUGGGAUGAUUGCAAGAAGGCUUUUCUAACAAAGUUCUUCUCCAACGCCAUAACUGCAAGACUCAAAAAUGAGAUUUAUGGUUUCUCACAGAAGACUGGUGAAAGCUUCUGUGAAGCAUGGGAGCGUUUCAAGCCUCUCUGCUCAUGCCCUCAUCAUGGCUUUACUAAAGCCUCUCUGCUCAACACUCUUUACAGAGGAGUCCUACCACGCAUCAGAAUGCUUCUGGAUACCGCCAGCAAUGGAAAUUUCCAGAACAAAGAUGUUGAAGAAGGCUGAGAAUUGGUUGAGAACCUUGCUCAAUCAGAUGGUAAUUACAAACGAGGACUGCGAUAGGACCGUCAGAGGCACAACUGACUCUGUUGAUAAACACAAGAAGGAGAUCAAAGCACUGAAUGACAAGCUAGACAGGAUACUUCUUAGCCAGAAGAAGCAUGUGCACUUCCUUGUUGAUGACGAGCAGUUUCAAGUCCAAGAUGGGGAGGGUAACCAGUUGGUAGAAGUCAGCUACAUCAACAACAACCAGGGUGAGUACAAAGGAUACAACAACUUCAAAACCAACAACCCCAACCUCUCCUACCGCAGCACCAACGAUGCUAAUCCUCAUGAUCAGGUGUAUCCUCCACAUCAACAACAAGGUCAGAACAAACCUUUUGUUCCCUAUAACCAAGGUUUCGUUCCUAAGCAACAAUUCCAGGAGAACUACCAGCCGCCACAAC
RNAcentral lists this small RNA (3573 nucleotides) under Arabidopsis thaliana (thale cress). RNAcentral describes it as "ATSL032910". Lineage: Eukaryota; Viridiplantae; Streptophyta; Magnoliopsida; Brassicales; Brassicaceae. The record is from RNAcentral.